This 449-nucleotide ribosomal RNA is filed under the name uncultured bacterium. Its description in RNAcentral is "partial 16S ribosomal RNA". It matches the Rfam family "Bacterial small subunit ribosomal RNA", at positions 29 to 523 of the family's 1533-position model. The record is from RNAcentral.
AACGAGCGCUGGCGGCAGGCUUAACACAUGCAAGUCGAACGCAUCCUUCGGGGUGAGUGGCAGACGGGUGAGUAACGCGUGGGAACGUUCCCUUCAGUUCGGGAUAACCCAGGGAAACUUGGGCUAAUACCGGAUACGUGCGAGAGCAGAAAGAUUUAUCGCUGAAGGAUCGGCCCGCGUCUGAUUAGCUAGUUGGUGGGGGAAUGGCCCACCAAGGCGACGAUCAGUAGCUGGUCUGAGAGGAUGAUCAGCCACAUUGGGACUGAGACACGGCCCAAACUCCUACGGGAGGCAGCAGUGGGGAAUAUUGGACAAUGGGUGCAAGCCUGAUCCAGCCAUGCCGCGUGAGUGAUGAAGGCCUUAGGGUUGUAAAGCUCUUUCGUCCGGGACGAUAAUGACGGUACCGGAAGAAGAAGCCCCGGCUAACUUCGUGCCAGCCGCCGCGGUAA